RNAcentral lists this ribosomal RNA (2757 nucleotides) under Triticum aestivum (bread wheat). RNAcentral's name for it is "partial small subunit ribosomal RNA". Lineage: Eukaryota; Viridiplantae; Streptophyta; Magnoliopsida; Poales; Poaceae. The record is from RNAcentral.
AUGGCGGGGGUGAGCGCCGGCACAGGGGCGAUGGGCUCCCUCCUCGGCAAGCUCACCGCCCUGCUCGGCGACGAGUACAAGCUGCUCAAAAGGGUCCGCAAGGAGAUCGAGUUCCUCAAACGCGAGCUCGGCAGGAUGCAGGUCCUGCUGGAGAGGCUGACCGACAUGGAGGCCAGGCUCGAUGGUCUGGGCAAGAGCUGGGGGGACAGCGUGCGCGACCUCAGCUACGACAUGGAAGACUGCAUCGACCGCUUCAUGGACCGGUUUGGCAGCGGCGACGCCAAACCAAAGUUCAUGAAGAGGACUGCGCGUCGGCUCAAGACUCUGUGGGCGCGGCAUGACAUCGCGACCCAGAUCAAGGAGCUCAAGGCUCGCGUCAUGGAGGAAAGCGAGCGCCGUGACAGGUACAAGCUUGACGAGAGUUGCUACAGUCCAACGAAGACGGUGGAGAUUGACCCACGGAUUACCGCGCUUCACGAGGAGGUCAAGGACUUGGUGGCAAUGGACGAUCGAGUGAAGCAAGUUACUACUUUGUUGAUGGAUGGGAGUAUGGAGCUGAAAGUAGUGCCGAUUGUUGGGUCCGGAGGGUUGGGGAAGACGACCCUGGCAAUGGAGGUGUAUCGCAAAAUUGGAUUAGGAGGAGAUUUCCAGUGCCGAGGUUUCGUGUCGGUGUCACGUACUCUUGAUCUAGAGAAGCUCUUGAAGGAUAUCUUAUCUCAGAUUGAUAAAGAUGCUUAUGGCAACAGUAAGCGUUGGGAAAAAGAACAAUUAAUCCGUGAAACCAAACAGAUCUUGACCGGAAAGAGGUACUUCAUUGUUAUUGAUGACGUCUGGAAAGAACAAGACUGGAAAUUAGUCAAGGCAGCAUUUCCUGAGAAUAACAAUGGUAGCAGAAUAAUUGCUACUACACGCAUUACCGGUGUAGCUAAUCAGUGUUGUUCCAACUCCGGCGGUCGACCCUAUCAAAUGGUACCUCUAGAUGAUGAUGCUUCUCGAAAGUUGUUCUUCAAGAGAAUUUUCUCCUCGGAUGAUCCCUGUCCUUCUGAACUAGAAGAAGUUUCUACUGGGAUCUUAAGAAAAUGUGGCGGCCUGCCACUGGCUAUCAUUACAUUUGCAAGUUUGCUUGCCAAUAAGCCACAUAAGAAGGAUGAAUGGGAGAGACUGCAAGAUUCCAUUGGUACUGGUCCUUCACUUGAUAAUGAUGGGAACUUAAAAGGGAUGAAAGAUAUACUAUUACUUGGUUACUGGGAUCUUCCACACCAUUUGAAGACUUGUUUGUUGUACUUGUGUAUAUAUCCAGAGGACUACAAGAUCAACUGUGAAGAACUGAAAUGGAAAUGGAUGGCCGAAGGAUUCCUUGAUAGACGAUGGGGACGUUUGGAUGAGGUAGCAGAGAACUGUAUCAAUGAACUCGUUAACAGAAAUAUGAUCCAGCCAAUUGACAUUUAUGGUGAUGGUAUUGUGAAAUAUUGUCGAGUCCAUGAUAUGGUGCUUGACCUUCUCAUAUCUUUAUCAGAUGAAGAGAAUUUUGCCACUGUUUUAAAUGGACGUGUAUGCAAUUCUUGUCCCAGGAAGAUUCGUCGUCUGUCCGUACAAGCUAGUGGCCGAAAGCAUCAAGGUGCAGUUUGUGCAGUCACAGAAACCAAGUUGCAUGUUCGCUCGCUGACUACAUUUUGUCCUGUUGAGCAGAUUCCCCAUCUUGUGGACUUCCAUGCUUUGCGGGUGUUGGAUCUUUUUGGAUGUAAACGGUUGGAAAACAAGCAUGUAAAACAUAUAGGUAGUUCGCGUCAGCUGAGGUAUUUGAGAAUUGGCCGUUCUAGGAUUACUGAGCUUCCUGGUGAAAUCGGAAAGCUGCAGCACUUAGAGACUCUCGAUUUGAGACACUGUUAUUCACUUACAAGACUGCCAUCAACAGUGGCGCAGUUGCAGAAAUUGGUACGCCUAUUUGUAUCUAAUGAAACACAAUUACGUACAAGUGGGUUCCGGAGUCUACAAGCCUUGGAGGAGUUACGCGUCCACGAAACUGACGACCCAGUGAGAUUUGCGGAGGAAGUAAAUGAGUUGGGCAAAUGCAACCUUCGGUAUCUUUAUACUGAUGCAGAGAUAGCCGAACGUCUGUUCUGUAACCCAUGCCUCCAAGUUCUUAAAAUUUGGCCACAGAUUGGAAUGGUUCCCAAGGGAAUGGCCUCCCUCAAGAAUCUCGUGAAGCUAUCCAUAAUGGUCCAGAAAUUUGAUAAUGAGGGUCUCCAAGUCCUCAUGGGCAUGCCUUCUAUGGCCCAUCUUCAGCUAUGCGUUACAGGGGUCAUCGAAGAAAAGCUGACCAUGGGUAGUAAUGGAUUCAAACUGCUAAAGGUGCUGCAGUUCAAAUAUACGUCAGUCUUACAUCCUGCUUUUCUCCUGGAACCAACAAAUGGACUGCGGCUAAUAUUUGAACCGGAUGCUGUGCCAGCACUCCGACAGCUCCAUCUUGCCUUGAGCGCAAUGUGGGUGGCGUCCGACUUUUUUGCAUACUUGGGUGCCGAGCAUUUUUCAGGCCUUGCACACCUCGAGGUCGAAUUUGAUUGUUACAGAGCAGCUCCAGGCAGGGUGGAGGCUUUGGAGUCUUCCGUUAAAAAAGCAAUCAACUUGCACUCCGACUGUGAGAUUCAUGUCCAUAGAGUCAGUGAACAUGGCAUGUUUAAGGAUGAAAAGGAAUGGGAAGAGGCCGUCGCAGAAGACAGAAAGAGGGUGGAAAAGAUUGAGCUAUUGAGCUAUUAA